This 818-nucleotide ribosomal RNA is filed under the name bacterium enrichment culture clone G7. RNAcentral describes it as "bacterial SSU rRNA". It matches the Rfam family "Bacterial small subunit ribosomal RNA", at positions 360 to 1170 of the family's 1533-position model. The record is from RNAcentral.
AAUAUUGCACAAUGGGGGAAACCCUGAUGCAGCCAUGCCGCGUGUGUGAAGAAGGCCUUCGGGUUGUAAAGCACUUUCAGUAGGGAGGAAAGGGUGAGUCUUAAUACGGCUCAUCUGUGACGUUACCUACAGAAGAAGGACCGGCUAACUCCGUGCCAGCAGCCGCGGUAAUACGGAGGGUCCGAGCGUUAAUCGGAAUUACUGGGCGUAAAGCGUGCGCAGGCGGUUUGUUAAGCGAGAUGUGAAAGCCCUGGGCUCAACCUAGGAAUAGCAUUUCGAACUGGCGAACUAGAGUCUUGUAGAGGGGGGUAGAAUUCCAGGUGUAGCGGUGAAAUGCGUAGAGAUCUGGAGGAAUACCGGUGGCGAUGCGGCCCCUGGACAAAGACUGACGCUCAUGCACGAAAGCGUGGGGAGCAAAUCAGGAUUAGAUACUCCUGCUAGUCCACGCCGUAAACGAUGUCUACUCGGAGUUUGCUGUCUUGAACACUGGGCUCUCAAGCUAACGCAUUAAGUAGACCGCCUGGGGAGUACGGCCGCAAGGUUAAAACUCAAAUGAAUUGACGGGGGCCCGCACAAGCGGUGGAGCAUGUGGUUUAAUUCGAUGCAACGCGAAGAACCUUACCUACUCUUGACAUCCACAGAAGAGACCAGAGAUGGACUUGUGCCUUCGGGAACUGUGAGACAGGUGCUGCAUGGCUGUCGUCAGCUCGUGUUGUGAAAUGUUGGGUUAAGUCCCGCAACGAGCGCAACCCCUAUCCUUAUUUGCCAGCACGUAAUGGUGGGAACUCUAGGGAGACUGCCGGUGAUAAACCGGAGGA